Molecule: ribosomal RNA, 497 nt
Filed under: uncultured bacterium
Lineage: Bacteria
Description: partial 16S ribosomal RNA
Rfam family: Bacterial small subunit ribosomal RNA
Source: RNAcentral
GAUGAACGCUGGCGGCGUGCCUAAUACAUGCAAGUCGAGCGAACAGAUAAGGAGCUUGCUCCUUUGACGUUAGCGGCGGACGGGUGAGUAACACGUGGGUAACCUACCUAUAAGACUGGAAUAACUCCGGGAAACCGGGGCUAAUGCCGGAUAACAUUUAGAACCGCAUGGUUCUAAAGUGAAAGAUGGUUUUGCUAUCACUUAUAGAUGGACCCGCGCCGUAUUAGCUAGUUGGUAAGGUAACGGCUUACCAAGGCAACGAUACGUAGCCGACCUGAGAGGGGGAUCGGCCACACUGGAACUGAGACCCGGUCCAGACUCCUACGGGAGGCAGCAGUAGGGAAUCUUCCGCAAUGGGCGAAAGCCUGAAGGAGCAACGCCGCGUGAGUGAUGAAGGUCUUCGGAUCGUAAAACUCUGUUAUUAGGGAAGAACAAAUGUGUAAGUAACUGGGCACGUCUUGACGGUACCUAAUCAGAAAGCCACGGCUAACUACGUG